Molecule: RNase P RNA, 409 nt
Filed under: Bacteroidetes bacterium 4484_249
Lineage: Bacteria; Pseudomonadati; Bacteroidota
Description: RNase P RNA component class A
Rfam family: Bacterial RNase P class A
About the family: Ribonuclease P (RNase P) is a ubiquitous endoribonuclease, found in archaea, bacteria and eukarya as well as chloroplasts and mitochondria. Its best characterised activity is the generation of mature 5'-ends of tRNAs by cleaving the 5'-leader elements of precursor-tRNAs.
Source: RNAcentral
GAUGCAGUUCGUUCUAUCGCUCCGUCGUUGGCGGAGAGGAAAGUCGGGACAACACAGAGCACCGUACUUCCUAACGGGAAGGGUCCAGCCGAUGGCGGGAUACAGCAAGUGCCGCAGAAAAUAACUGCCGACACCGGAGUUUUGUUUAGAUGGGUUAUUCGUCUUAUUGGCGAGGCCCACCUUCGCUAAAGCUUCGGUGGGCGAGGGUGAAAAUGUGAGGUAAGAGCUCACGUCGCGGUAUGGUGACAUGCCGGGAGGGUAAACCUUACGGGUUGAAAGGCCAAAUAUACUGAGGCUUGAGGGCUGCUCGUCCGAUCUCAGGGGGUUGGUCGUUAGAUGCCAAUGGUGACAUUGGUGCCAGAUAAAUGAUAGAUUAAAACAGAAUCCCGCUUAUUGAACUGUUGUUAUA